Molecule: ribosomal RNA, 918 nt
Filed under: Triticum aestivum (bread wheat)
Lineage: Eukaryota; Viridiplantae; Streptophyta; Magnoliopsida; Poales; Poaceae
Description: partial small subunit ribosomal RNA
Source: RNAcentral
AUGGAGAUGGUUCUGGUGAGCGCGGCGACGGGUGCACUGAAACCCGUCCUCGAGAAGUUGUUUGCCCUCAUGGGUGACGAGUACAAGCGUUUUAAGGGUGUGCGUGGUGAGAUUCAGUUCCUCACGGAUGAGCUCACCGCCAUGCAUGCCUUUCUCCUCAAGAUGUCUGAGGAGGAGGAACCUGAUGAGCAAGAUAAAGUGUGGAUGACUGCGGUCCGGGAGCUCUCCUAUGACAUGGAGGACUCGAUCGAUGACUUCAUGCAAGGUGUUGGCAACAAAGAUUCAAAGCCAGAUGGCUUCAUAGAGAAGAUCAAGAACUCACUUGGGAAGUUAGGGAAGAUGAAGGCUCGUCGUAGGAUUGGUAACGAGAUCCAUGAUCUGAAAAAACAGAUCAUCGAUGUCGCCGAGAGGAAUGAAAGGUACAAGACCCGGCAGGCCAUCUCCAACAUAAAAAAUGAAGUUGUUGAUCCUAGAGCUCUUGUUAUCUUUGAGCAUGCCUCAAAGCUCAUCGGAAUGGAUAGACCAAAGGCUGAUCUAGCCAAACUGUUGAAUAAGAGAAAUGGAUGGGUGUCAUCGAAGGAGGAAGAGCCGCUGAAAAUAGUUUCCAUUGUUGGAUCUGGAGGAUUGGGCAAGACAACUCUUGCAAAUCAAGUGUAUCAAGAGCACAAAAAGGAAUUCGACUGUUGUGCUUUCCUAUCCGUGUCACGGAAGCCAGCCAUGAUGAACAUCCUUAGAAGUAUUCUUAGUCAAGUCAGCAAUCAACGUUACGAUGACACCAAAGCAGGGAGCAUACAACAAGUCAUCAGCAACAUCACAGAAUUCCUUGCGGACAAAAGGUAUUCAGUUUCCUUUUACAUGUUAUCUUUGUAUUCAAUUGAGAUGCUAUUUAGUCCCUCUUGGUUUAUAGGGCUCAUCUAA